This is a long non-coding RNA of Paramormyrops kingsleyae, 2271 nucleotides long. RefSeq lists it as uncharacterized. The record is from RefSeq and is a predicted model, not a curated record. Lineage: Eukaryota; Metazoa; Chordata; Actinopteri; Osteoglossiformes; Mormyridae.
AUUUGAAUAUAGGAAAACAACCCCACCCUAAACAAGGAUGCCGCCAUUGCAAUGGCAGAAAAGCUAAAGAAGGAAAUUCAGAAGAAAAGGUCUGUAAUUCCCACAGAGGUCCGUUAUGAUUCUGAAGAAAGUGAAUAUGACUGUGCCCGACAUCAAAGGAGUAUAUCAAAACGACUGUUGGUAAGUGAUUCAGAGGAUGACGGCUACUGUACAUCAAACCAAGUACAACUCAAAGUGCCAGCUGUUGUCUUGACAUAGAGACCAUAAAGGCUCUUAAAGAGAUACCUGCAAUUGUCAAAUCCCUAAAGGAUGUAGUGUCAAAAUUGCCAUUGGCUGGCCACAUGGGCUCACCACCCCCCUGGAACACUCCAAGCAGCGAAUCAGCAGGACCUUCAAGCUCUGAUACACCAGUUUCAGCAAGUUCACCAGUCAUGGUAACAUUGCCUAACUCCAACAUUCAAGUCCAGAAAAGGCUCUUUGGUCGUUUGAGCAAAACCAGGAUGUCACUUUAUACACAAGAGCUGGCACUACUGCUUUUCGGGAAGGAGACAUUGGCAUCCUCAUCGAUCACAGGGAAGCAUGCAAGCAAUCAUAAGGACCUGCCAGAGAAAGACCAGCUAGACCCUGAAAAGGUUGAGGCAUUAAUAGAUUGCAUCAUUGCACAAUUCCCAGGGACCUCUGCCCAAGAGGUGAAGAAUAUUUUGAGGAGAAAGUGCAAUAACGAGAGCUUUGCAAAACAAAAAAACAGGUAGCCUCCCUGGGAGCACGACUCAGAAGCCGUAGGUUACCCAAAUUUACUCUGCGCCAACGAAGACGAGGAGAAGAAGGAUCCCUGUGCAGGAAAAUAUCAUCCGAGCCGAUGACAGGUACCAGCCAGGCGUCGACAGGGUCCAGAUAGCGCUGCGCAACAAACAAACGCUGUGCCGAUCCAUAAUUAUUAAAAGAAGCCAUAGAAGAGUGUCCCACCCAAGCCUUCAACCUCACCAGCCGACCGCCUCGUUUACCCCGACGACGAGUGCGUUUACGCCAGACAGGUGCUUAUCCAUGGUUAAAAAGGAUGAUCUCCUCAGCAUGCAUUUGCAUCUCAUUACAACUGAAAAUAACACUGGCAUUUAACAGGGAGAGAAGAUUCAUCUUGCAUGUCUCAAAUUACCAAGCAAAACAAUUACUCUUUGUGAGUGUCUAUUUUCUUUCAGUGUAUCAAUUUUAUUCUAAGUACACAAGUAAAUGUCAAAAGAUUGUUUCCAGUUUCCAUACAUGCAUUGCAAUUAUUUUGAUGCCGUCCAAGAAUGAUUUAAAUGACUUACCUUCUAAUUAAAUUAUUCAGCAACGGUGUGAAAUAAAUUACACCUAACGUCUUUAGUUCCAUCAUUUAGAUUUUUUUCCCAAAUCAAAUAAGCCACCAAAAUUUACACAUUCCCUUGAUCACAAGGUAGACGUCAAACUUUUUACAUCUAAAGGUAAGACAAAUUAAAUAGUUCAAAUAACAGAACCCACAUAGCAAACUAUUACUGCUUCACUAAAUUAAUAUUCACAUAACCUGAAAAAUAAUUUGAAUUGGUGUCUUGGAGAAUCAUUGCCUUUCACAGCAGAACUGUGGCCCUAAAUUAAAGUCCAGGCAUCCUGGCAAUCAUCUUUAUGCUAAAACAUAAAAGUUAUCUAAAUUAACAAAAAAUAAAUUAAAAACUAAAAUAUCAGUCAUAAAUAAAGGCGGACAAUUAUAUCUAUAACUGAUUUGACCCAUAUAACAACUCUAUCAGUUUUAGAAUAACUUCAAGUAGAUAAUUAGAAGUUUGUGUACAUCAUAUUUCCUACCUGCAGGUCCACCCCAACAUAUGGUCAGUGAAUCAAAUGUCAACCAUUGCUGUAUGUACAGUCUUAUGAAUCCUAAUAAGCAGUGCUUAAAGCCAGCAUCCCACUACACAUCCACAUAGACAUUAGACAUACAAACUCACGGCUACUGUAUCACCAUGACAAACAGAUACAAAGCAUGGACUGAAAGGGAAGUCAUUUGUAUCUUUUAUGAUUGUCAGAAAUACUACCCUAACCAUAAGUACUUUUGGCAUAUUGUGUAUGGUAACUGCCUUUAGAACACCAAAUUAGUGUAUAGUGUAUACCUAUGGAAACUGCAUUUAGUAAUUAUCUAUAGAUAUAUGAGCUGACCCCUACCAUGAAUAAUACAUCUGUUAAGUACUGUGAGUUACUAUCAUGUUAAGAAUUUGCAGAAGUGGUGAACGAGAAAAGAUACAUAUACUGUAUAAUGCAAAUAUA